This is a non-coding RNA of Loxodonta africana (African savanna elephant), 905 nucleotides long. The record is from the annotation of a RefSeq genome assembly. Lineage: Eukaryota; Metazoa; Chordata; Mammalia; Proboscidea; Elephantidae.
CCGUGGAGGAUGCUGGUGCUGCUUCUGCUCCUGGGGCCCGGCUCCAUGCUGGGUGCCCUUGUCUCUCAACACCCGAGCUGGGCCAUCUGCAAGAAUGGGACCUCAGUGGAGAUCAAGUGCCACGUCACGGGCAUCCAGGCAACAACGAUGCUCUGGUAUCUCCAGCUUCCAGAGCAGGGCUUCACCCUGAUCGCAACUUCUGUCCAGGGCUCCGGCGUCACCCACGAGCAAGGCUUCACUGGGGCCAAGUUCCCCAUCAGCCACCCAGACUUCACGUUUUCAAAUCUGACGGUGACCAACGCACAGGCUCAGGACAGCAGCCUCUACUUCUGUGGUGCCAGUGACACAGUGCCAGGCAGAGAUCAGGGACCUGAGCAAGAACCUCUGCCUGGACGCCCCCUUCUGUUCCCCAGGGGUCCGUGGGCCCUGUGGGAGGGGUGUGCAGGGUAGGAAACCACAGCUCCUUGAACUGAGACACCUGUGAGUGUGUGUGUGUGUGUGUGUGUAGAGAGAGAUUGAGAGUGUGUGUGUGCGUAUGUGUAGAUAGGGAAUGUGUAUGUUCGUAUGUAUAUAUAGAGUGUCUGAGUGUGAAGUGUGGGGGCACCUUGUGUGAAACCCAGAAAAUGGGCAUGGCGCUGGCUCUAUAAGUGACCACUGACAUGGAGACAUCCCUGGACUGAAAAUUAUAAAACCUGGAUGGUUGUCCUGACUCUGCCACAUGUUAAUCAUGGAAAACAUGAUUGGAAAAAUUCACUAUAGGUAGAAAAAAAAAUGUAAUAAUAAAAUUCCUGAGAUUUUUGUGGUAAACGUGGACUUCAGCUUUCCUGGACUAUUCAACACCAUCUUCUCACCAUGUUGGGCCCUCGAGAUAAAGAGGGAUAAGUCAGCCAAACAAGAGCUUCACU